RNAcentral lists this ribosomal RNA (313 nucleotides) under uncultured bacterium. RNAcentral's name for it is "bacterial SSU rRNA". It matches the Rfam family "Bacterial small subunit ribosomal RNA", at positions 28 to 334 of the family's 1533-position model. The record is from RNAcentral.
GAUGAACGCUGGCGGCGUGCCUAACACAUGCAAGUCGAACGGGGAUAGGAUGAAACCUAGUGAUUCCUAUUCUAGUGGCGGACGGGUGAGUAACGCGUGGAUAACCUGCCUUGUACAGGGGGAUAACACCUGGAAACAGGUGCUAAGACCGCAUAAGCGCACAGUCCCGCAUGGGACAGUGUGAAAAACUCCGGUGGUACAAGAUGGAUCCGCGUCUGAUUAGCCAGUUGGCGGGGUAACGGCCCACCAAAGCGACGAUCAGUAGCCGGCCUGAGAGGGUGAACGGCCACAUUGGGACUGAGACACGGACCAG